Molecule: microRNA, 17 nt
Filed under: Macrophomina phaseolina MS6
Lineage: Eukaryota; Fungi; Ascomycota; Dothideomycetes; Botryosphaeriales; Botryosphaeriaceae
Description: miR-3178
Source: RNAcentral
GCGGCGCGGCGGGAUCG